AAAGAGGAAGCAUAUACUGCGUCUUAUUUACAAUAAGAAGAAGAUUUAAUAUUCCCUCUUUA
Molecule: transfer RNA, 62 nt
Filed under: Idotea baltica
Lineage: Eukaryota; Metazoa; Arthropoda; Malacostraca; Isopoda; Idoteidae
Description: tRNA-Val
Source: RNAcentral